CCUACGGGUGGCAGCAGUAGGGAAUCUUCCACAAUGGGCGCAAGCCUGAUGCAGCAACGCCGCGUGGGUGAUGAAGGUCUUCGGAUCGUAAAACCCUGUUGUUAGAGAAGAAAGUGCGUGAGAGUAACUCUUCACGUUUCGACGGUAUCUAACCAGAAAGCCCCGGCUAACUACGUGACAGCAGCCGCGGUAAUACGUAGGUGGCAAGCGUUAUCCGGAUUUAUUGGGCGUAAAGGGAACGCAGGCGGUCUUUUAAGUCUGAUGUGUAAGCCUUCGGCUUAACCGGAGUAGUGCAUUGGAAACUGGGAGACUUGAGUGCAGAAGAGGUGGGUGGAACUCGAUGUGUAGCGGUGAAAUGCGUAGAUAUAUGGAAGAACACCAGUGGCGAAAGCGGCUCUCUGGUCUGUAACUGACGCUGAGGUUCGAAAGCGUGGGUAGCAAACAGGAUUAGAUACCCUUGUAGUC
This 465-nucleotide ribosomal RNA is filed under the name uncultured bacterium. Its description in RNAcentral is "partial 16S ribosomal RNA". It matches the Rfam family "Bacterial small subunit ribosomal RNA", at positions 338 to 795 of the family's 1533-position model. The record is from RNAcentral.